CGCGGCCUAUCAGCUUGUUGGUGGGGUGAUGGCCUACCAAGGCGACGACGGGUAGCCGGCCUGAGAGGGUGACCGGCCACACUGGGACUGAGACACGGCCCAGACUCCUGCGGGAGGCAGCAGUGGGGAAUCUUGCGCAAUGGGCGAAAGCCUGACGCAGCGACGCCGCGUGGGGGAUGACGGCCUUCGGGUUGUAAACUCCUUUUACCACUCACGCAGGCUCCCAGUUUUCUGGGGGUUGACGGUAGGUGGGGAAUAAGGACCGGCUAACUACGUGCCAGCAGCCGCGGUAAUACGUAGGGUCCGAGCGUUGUCCGGAAUUAUUGGGCGUAAAGAGCUCGUAGGCGGCGUGUCGCGUCUGCUGUGAAAGACCGGGGCUUAACUCCGGUUUUGCAGUGGAUACGGGCAUGCUAGAGGUAGGUAGGGGAGACUGGAAUUCCUGGUGUAGCGGUGGAAUGCGCAGAUAUCAGGAGGAACACCGGUGGCGAAGGCGGGUCUCUGGGCCUUACCUGACGCUGAGGAGCGAAAGCAUGGGGAGCGAACAGGAUUAGAUACCCUGGUAGUCCAUGCCGUAAACGAUGGGCGCUAGGUGUGGGGACUUUCCACGGUUUCCGCGCCGUAGCUAACGCAUUAAGCGCCCCGCCUGGGGAGUACGG
This 656-nucleotide ribosomal RNA is filed under the name uncultured bacterium. RNAcentral describes it as "bacterial SSU rRNA". It matches the Rfam family "Bacterial small subunit ribosomal RNA", at positions 232 to 885 of the family's 1533-position model. The record is from RNAcentral.